AAUGAAAUAAUGCCACUUGCAGCAACAUGGAUGGACCCAGAGAUGAUCAUACUCAGUGGAGCUCACUGCUGCGGCUGCCUGCCUGGUUGAUGGCCUUGACAAUGAAGAUGUACUUGGUGCCGCUUUGCAGCCCGUGGACCGUGUAGUGGUUCUGCUUGAUGUUGGGCACGAUCAUCCAGCUAUCGGCCGAGUUGCACAGACCUGCAAAGCCAAGCAGAUGUGGUGCUGUGGGAUGGAAAGAAAGCAAGUGACCACACAUCCCUCCCCCUGACUUGCAUCAUGAUGACUGUUCAGUCUUGGAUCUCAUCAAUUUUGAGACUCACAGAGGGAUCUGUAUCUAAGUGACUCUGUGGCUACUCCUUCUAAAGAGAUGGGAUAUGUUGUCUUUUACCUCGUGGCUUUGGAUUUGGCUAUGUGACCUGCUCUGGCCAAGAGAACGAGGCUGCAGUGACAACACACCAGUGGCAAGAG
This is a long non-coding RNA of Bubalus bubalis (water buffalo), 471 nucleotides long. RefSeq lists it as uncharacterized. The record is from RefSeq and is a predicted model, not a curated record. Lineage: Eukaryota; Metazoa; Chordata; Mammalia; Artiodactyla; Bovidae. The transcript is spliced from 4 exons.